RNAcentral lists this transfer RNA (75 nucleotides) under Leucothrix pacifica. RNAcentral describes it as "tRNA-Glu". It matches the Rfam family "tRNA". Rfam says of the family: Transfer RNA (tRNA) molecules are approximately 80 nucleotides in length. Their secondary structure includes four short double-helical elements and three loops (D, anti-codon, and T loops). The record is from RNAcentral. Lineage: Bacteria; Pseudomonadati; Pseudomonadota; Gammaproteobacteria; Thiotrichales; Thiotrichaceae.
GUCCCCAUCGUCUAACGGUUAGGACAUCGCCCUUUCACGGCGGUAAUCGGGGUUCGAAUCCCCGUGGGGACACCA